RNAcentral lists this ribosomal RNA (650 nucleotides) under uncultured bacterium. RNAcentral describes it as "bacterial SSU rRNA". It matches the Rfam family "Bacterial small subunit ribosomal RNA", at positions 42 to 671 of the family's 1533-position model. The record is from RNAcentral.
UCAGGCCUAACACAUGCAAGUCGAGCGGAAACGAGUUAUCUGAACCCUCGGGGAACGAUAACGGCGUCGAGCGGCGGACGGGUGAGUAAUGCCUAGGAAAUUGCCCUGAUGUGGGGGAUAACCAUUGGAAACGAUGGCUAAUACCGCAUGAUGCCUACGGGCCAAAGAGGGGGACCUUCGGGCCUCUCGCGUCAGGAUAUGCCUAGGUGGGAUUAGCUAGUUGGUGCGGUAAGGGCUCACCAAGGCGACGAUCCCUAGCUGGUCUGAGAGGAUGAUCAGCCACACUGGAACUGAGACACGGUCCAGACUCCUACGGGAGGUAGCAGUGGGGAAUAUUGCACAAUGGGCGCAAGCCUGAUGCAGCCAUGCCGCGUGUGUGAAGAAGGCCUUCGGGUUGUAAAGCACUUUCAGUCGUGAGGAAGGUAGUGUAGUUAAUAGCUGCAUUAUUUGACGUUAGCGACAGAAGAAGCACCGGCUAACUCCGUGCCAGCAGCCGCGGUAAUACGGAGGGUGCGAGCGUUAAUCGGAAUUACUGGGCGUAAAGCGCAUGCAGGUGGUUUGUUAAGUCAGAUGUGAAAGCCCGGGGCUCAACCUCGGAAUAGCAUUUGAAACUGGCAGACUAGAGUACUGUAGAGGGGGGUAGAAUUUCA